GAUUCUGGCUCAGAUUGAACGCUGGCGGCGUGCUUAACACAUGCAAGUCGCGCGUGAAUGGACUUCGGUCCGAGUAAAGCGGCGCACGGGUGAGUAACGCGUGGAUGAUCUACCCAUGAGUUAGGAAUAACGGCUGGAAACGGUCGCUAAUACCAAAUACGCUCCGAUUUCAACUUCGGGGGAAAGGUGGCCUCUGCUUGCAAGCUACUGCUCAUGGAUGAGUCCGCGUCCCAUUAGCUAGUUGGUGGGGUAACGGCCCACCAAGGCGACGAUGGGUAGCCGGUCUGAGAGGAUGACCGGCCACACUGGGACUGGAACACGGCCCAGACUCCUACGGGAGGCAGCAGUGGGGAAUAUUGCGCAAUGGGCGAAAGCCUGACGCAGCGACGCCGCGUGAGGGAAUGAAGGUCCUCGGAUCGUAAACCUCUGUCAGGAGGGAAGAACCGCCACGGUGCUAAUCAGCCGUGGUCUGACGGUACCUCCAAAGGAAGCACCGGCUAACUCCGUGCCAGCCGCGGC
This 519-nucleotide ribosomal RNA is filed under the name uncultured bacterium. RNAcentral describes it as "bacterial SSU rRNA". It matches the Rfam family "Bacterial small subunit ribosomal RNA", at positions 15 to 518 of the family's 1533-position model. The record is from RNAcentral.